ACGGGAGGCAGCAGUGGGGGAUAUUGCACAAUGGAGGAAACUCUGAUGCAGCGACGCCGCGUGAGGGAAGAAGGUUUUCGGAUUGUAAACCUCUGUCUUAUGGGACGAUAAUGACGGUACCAUAGGAGGAAGCCACGGCUAACUACGUGCCAGCAGCCGCGGUAAUACGUAGGUGGCAAGCGUUGUCCGGAAUUACUGGGUGUAAAGGGAGCGUAGGCGGGAAUGCAAGUUGAAUGUUUAAACUAUCGGCUCAACCGAUAAUCGCGUUCAAAACUGCGUUUCUUGAGUGAAGUAGAGGCAAGCGGAAUUCCUAGUGUAGCGGUGAAAUGCGUAGAUAUUAGGAGGAACACCAGUGGCGAAGGCGGCUUGCUGGGCUUUUACUGACGCUGAGGCUCGAAAGUGUGGGUAGCAAACAGGAUUAGAUACCCUGGUA
Molecule: ribosomal RNA, 433 nt
Filed under: uncultured Clostridium sp.
Lineage: Bacteria; Bacillati; Bacillota; Clostridia; Eubacteriales; Clostridiaceae
Description: partial 16S ribosomal RNA
Rfam family: Bacterial small subunit ribosomal RNA
Source: RNAcentral